GUAAAUCGUUGCCAUGUUUUUCACACUGUGUGUGCGGAUCCCCGAGGCAGAGGAGCUCGAUCGCGGCAAUAACGGGAGAAACGGGCCACGGUUCCCGGUAUAACGAUGAUGCCUUGUCCAUCAGAGUUUCCGCCGACUGAAGCCCGCUCUCUUCACCAAACUCCUCCUCCUCCUCUUUUUUUCCUCAUGCAUUUUCCCUUUUCGGUCCAUGAAUGAAUGUUGCCCUGUAGUUCUUCGUUUGAAUUGCCCAAGCACUGGAUUGUGUUGCUUUUAUACGUUUUUAUUUUAAUAUUAUUAUUAUUAAUUUUGUAUCUCGGACUCUCAGAGUAAGAGCCUUAUGAAGGACGUGUAUCCUUGAGAAAAACCACCGUCCUGCAGCAGUGGGAUCAAUGUAUUAUCUGCCAUUCUCAUGGAUUCUCUGGCACACAGCAGAGAAGCGGUCGACGCGGUGAACUUUAAAAGGAUGAAAAAAAAAACAAGAACUUAAAUUAUGAACUCAAAGCUCGCACGUGCUCCACUAGAAGAUGAAAUACUGUCUCCCUCCAGCUUUGUCAGAAAUACAUUCAAUACUUGUAUGAGGACUGUGGCGUGAUGUUUCAAAGGUGUUCAGUCACAAAUGCUGUAAUAAAUAUUUCAUUUUUGA
Sinocyclocheilus anshuiensis is the source of this 643-nucleotide long non-coding RNA. RefSeq lists it as uncharacterized. The transcript has 2 exons. NCBI's taxonomy places the organism in Eukaryota, Metazoa, Chordata, Actinopteri, Cypriniformes, Cyprinidae. The record is from RefSeq and is a predicted model, not a curated record.